Molecule: long non-coding RNA, 28740 nt
Filed under: Actinidia chinensis (golden kiwifruit)
Lineage: Eukaryota; Viridiplantae; Streptophyta; Magnoliopsida; Ericales; Actinidiaceae
Description: long non-coding RNA (ACHI_LNC007175)
Source: RNAcentral
CAGACACGUGGCUUUGUUGAUGGUGUCAACAUCGUAACGUCCAAGGUCUGCCCCUUCAAGGAUCGUAAGCAUGACGUCCAUGAAGUCCUCACAGCCUGAGGCCACACCAGAGCUCCUCUCUCGGUGCUCCUCUAACCACCCGGAACAAUAGUGGUCCAUUUCUUGCAGUCUCCUUCUGGCCUUCUCCGUGGCCACCCAAGUCCAGCCACGCAGGAACGGCCACGGUGUCGACACCAGAAACAGCCCCAACAAGUAAAAGAAACUCCCUGAAACGCUUUCGCACCGCCGCCCCUCAUCCCAUCCGCCGCUGCAGCCCCGAAGAACCUUUUUUUGGGGAUUUAGUUAUAAAAUUGAGAAAUAGUCAAGUAAAUGUAACAAAAAUAAAUGAACAUUUGAAUUCAUGAAUCAUGAAAAUCAAGUUUUUGGCUCAUGAAUCAAGAGCUUCUUGAAAGCCAAGUUUUUGGCUCGGAAGAUACUUGAAAUGGAGAUUGCUCGGUAUAGGGUGAAUGACACUAUUUACCUUACUCAAAAACAAUAUUUAAAGAAAGUGCUAACGCGGUUUAAUAUGGAUAACAACUCAAAACUGGUUGGUAGCCAUUAGCUCCACAUUUUAAGCUUAAUGCUUUACUGUCUCUUAGUUCAGAAGAAGAAUGUGAUUAGUUGGCUCAAGUUGCUUAUGCAAGCUUGGUUGGUAGUCUUAUGCAUGUUAUGUUUUGUACUAGACUUUAUAUCGCAAAGAUUGUUAGAAUUGUUAGCCGUUAUAUGCAUGAUUCUAGCAACGCACAUUGGCAAGCAGCUAGGUGGAUUUUAUGGUCUAUUAUGGGGACCGUAGGUCUUAGUUUGAAGUUGGAGAAGAGUUCUUUCGCUGAUUGUCUUGUUCCUGGAUAUGUUAAUUCUGAUUAUGCGGGUGAUCUAGAUAAGCGUUGAUAGCUUACGGUUUAAUUGUUUACUAUGGAUGGAAGCCCAGUGUGCUGGUAAUGUACUUUGCACUUUACUGUUGCACGGUCUACUAGUGAGGCUGAAUAUAUGGUUAUUGCUGAAGCCAUUUGGUUACAUCAGUUGGUAGCAGAUUUGGGUGUUACGUAAGAGCAUGUUACCAUCUAUUGUGACAGUCAGAGAGUGAAAUACAUUUGGCAAAGAAUCAAGUUCAAUAUUAUCCGACGAAGCAUAUAGAUGUCCGUUCUCAUUUUGUUCAUGAAAUUGUUGAUGAAGAGGACAUUCUACUUGAGAAGAUUUGCACAAUGAAUAAUUCAUUUGAUAUGUUGACGAAUGUUGUUUCUGGAGUCAAGUUUCAAUAUUGUUUGGACUUAAUCAAUUUGUAGCAUGUGUAAGCACCUUUAGGUGCAUUUUGUUGGGGGUUGUUGAGCACGAUUCAAAUGCCUUUCACUACUUUGGGUUGCAGUGCAUGUGGGUUCGUAGUUGGUAUCUCACUAAGGUAGAGAGAUCUGUGAGGUUUUUGUCUUGAACCAAAUCCGAUCGAUUGAUCGUCAAUUGAGGUCGAUCAGAGCAUUCUAAUGAAAAUAAACAAACUGACCGUUAACCAGAUGUCUGUUGGGGAAUCCUGAUCAAAGCCGACUGUCAGGUGGUUCAUGUCGAGCUGUUUGACUCGUUUUCACAUUUAGGUGCGACCUAACCUUUUUUUUUGACUUCCUAAAGGUAUAUUAAUUCCCUUUUGUAUUAGUGAGAGAUAGAGAGAGCCUCUUUGAGAGACUUGUUUUUAACUUUUUGGAGCAUUCGUUUGAUUCUUUAGUGAAGAUGGACGUAGGAUUCAACCGAAUCACGUAAAUUGUUGUCUCUCAUGCGUGUAUGAUUGCUUUUUUCUCUCUCUAUUCGUUUAUUAAUAUUCAUUUUUUAUUAUUUUCAUAUUUAAAAUUAUAAAUUAUCUUGGAUUUGUGACGCUUUCGCACAACAAUUACCAUUUAAGUGUGUGGUCCACCUUUUUAUGUUAGUAUAUUAAGUAAUUUAUGAAAUAUCUUUAAAAUUAUUCUUUUGCUAAAUAUAAAGAUAAGUUGUAUAUAAUAUUUUUAUUUAUUUAUGCUAAAAGUAACUCUUAAAAAUAAAGCACACCUUUUUCCUGCAACCAUUCGAACCGCCACGUUAAGCGUCAAGUCUGCAAACCACUGCUUCAUCUCCACCAAGACAUGCCCUGAGCUGUCUUUCUUCUCUCUCCAAAGCUUGUAAAGUUCUUUUAUUGAGGUCUCGGUUUCGGAGACUCGCACGUGUUUCAGCAGCUCCAGCCGGCGGGUCGCUGUUGUUGCAAAAAUCAAAUACAAUAUGCUAAAUAAAAUUUUAAAUAAUUAUAAGAUAUUAUACGAUAAGCCAUUAUCGUAAAACUGUAUCUGCCUCCUUUUGUGCACGUUGUGACGGUCCAAUACAAUUUCAAAAUGCUAACUCAUAAAAUGUUCCAACGUCUUCCAAUAUAGAGACAUAGAGAUAAGAAUACUGAGGAGAAAACCAAAUUUAUUGUACAUGUGGAUUAAAUGGAAAUCAUCAAUUCACCCCAAAUGUAAACGUUUCGGAGGGAGAAUUGAUCAUUCCCUAUCAAUUGCUUAGACAUUAUAAAUUUAUUAACUGAUUUUGUGUGAAAUUCUAGUAAUUUAUAGCAUUCGAGCCCUAGUUUCACUAAUUUGUUGGUGAUUAGAGAGAAAGAAACCGUAAUUGAAAGCUUUAAUCCAUUUUUCUCCUUUUAUUUUUCAUUGAUUUUGUAUAUAUCCAGUCCACUCGUGCAAAAUGAGACUAAUUUUCUCUACAAAACGUUGACGUGGACGAGUUGAGCCAGAAAAUCUGACACACAGAUAACUUUUGUCGUUAACUUGACCAAAAUUAACAUCAGGGCAAAUUGAUAAUUAUUUUAAAAAGUCAGGGAUUUAAUUGAUGUUUUUCCAAUAACAAUGGUGUAUGAAAUUUUUAGGUAAAAGUUUAAAGUUUAGAGAGAAUUUUAAUUUUUUUCCAUUAAAUAAUGUAUAGUCUCAUACCCUACCUCACUGAAGUCUUGCCCAUUAGUACAAUGUUUGGAAACUUGGAUCGGAUUGGCUGGUUCGACCGGUUGAACCAUCGAUCGGUCCACUUUAUGAUUUAAUUUGGGCUAAAUACUUGUUUAACUCAAAAAACGACUUAGAUCACUAAACCGCAUGAACCCGCCGGUUCAACUGGUGUUGGGUUGCUAGACCCGACCAUUUCUCUCUAAGAAGGAGUUGAACUUGAGACCCUAAACUUAACAUGUGGCAUUCCAAGCCAAUUAGCUUACACACAUUUUAUGACUUAAAUUAUACAUUAUAAUAUAUAUUAUAAUUUUUCUUAAUUCCUUUUUAGUUUUUAUACUUUUAUUUUAUAUGUUUUUUCAACUUUUCUUAUAUGGCUUUUCAACUUUUUAAUAUUAGGAUGGUUGAUGUAAUGCCAAAUAAAAUUAUUUUAUAUUUAUAAUUUUAAAUUUAUUAGUGACAAUUAUGACGUCGCGGUUCGAUUACGGUUUGGCCUGAUAGUUGAACCAGUAACCUAUCCACUUGAUCAUUUUUUAAUUCAUUUAAUGGUCUGAUUUUCAAAACAUUGCUUUAGUAUAAGAUCCUUUUUUUUCCUUUCAAAUUUUAAACUAAGAAUUUGUCCCUUAAUAUUAAAAGAAAAGGUUACAUCCAUCCACUAAUGAAAAAUAAAUAGUAAUUAAGAAAAGGGUGGUUGAAUCCUAAUCUCCACCAACCUAGAAACUCCACAGAGAUUAUCUUGCGCAGUUCACGCCAAUAUGCACCAUAUGGGGAAAACCCAAACAUGGCACAGUUGUAGCCGAGGUGUUGGGACGCGGCAAACUUUGGCCGGGACGAUACCGCCACGUCAUGUGUGGUGAAACAUUCCUUGGCUAUCUCUGAGUUACUCACCACCACCGCUCGGUGGAUCCCGAGGUGGAGGGUGAAGAUCGGCCCGUGCUUGUCGGCCAUGGCGGCCAAAGUCAUGUGGGGAAGCUGAGAGCCUCGUAGCUGGUGGAGGUGGCCUAUUAUGGGCCAUGCACCACCAGCUUGUGGUGGUGGACUAUUUUUUGGAGAUUUAUAUUUGGAAGUUAUCGUUUUGCUUAAGUAGUAGAAGAAAACCAGAGACAAAGUGAAAAGUGCAAUGGAAGUGUUUGCUUGUGGGAGAAGGAAGUUUUCCAUGGCAGCUUAUGGCUUUUGGAAAUAAUUUUGGUUCAUGUUGUGCGAUGGUUUUGGGCUUUUGUAUAUAGUAUGCAUGCAGUGGGGUAGCGAGAAUUUCUAUUUAGUGGUGUUAUGGAAUAAGUAAUCAAUUCAAAAAAAAGAAUAUUUGAAUUUCACUGUAUUUUGCAGUGCUAGGUGCUGGUGAAAAAGAGAAGAAAAAAAAAUUAAUUUUAUAUUUAAAAAAGUAAAUAGUACAAUUUUACUAUUUUUGGUGGUGGCGGCGGCAUUCAAAAACAGUAAGAAAAUAUUUUAAAAACUAAUUCUAUUAUUCAAAACAAUAAACUGUACAAUUUCACUGUUCUAGGCAGUAGAUACAGUGUCGGCGGCGGUAGUGAAAAAUAGUAAAAAAAUAAAAAAUAAAUUUACUAUUCAAAAAAGCAAACAGUAUAAUUUCACUUUUCUGGGCAAUAGUGGCAGUGGCGGCGAUGGCGGUGGUUAUGAAAGUGAUGGAAAAUAGUAAAAAAAAAUUAUUAAUAAUUUUAUAGUUCAAAACGACAAACAUUAUUAGUUCACUGUUAUGGACGGUGGCGGCUGUGACGAUAGUGGUAAAAAAGAUUAAAACAAAAAAUUAAUAAUUUUAUUGUUCAAAAAGGCAAACAGUAUAAUUUUACUAUUUUGGGUGGUGGCGGCAGUGGUGGUGGUGAUGGAGAAAAAUAAUAAUAAAAACUUUAAAAAUAAUUUUUUGUUCAAAAUAAGGGCAAAAUCGUCAUAAAAAACUCCAAAAUAAAAAUAGAGGACCUUAGCCAGAAAAUCUUUCAACUUAAUGGACUUCACAAUUUGGCAAAAUAUUUAUUGGACUAAUUGUUAAUUCAAGCCCAACUCAAAUACUUCAGACCAUUUUUUUUUCUAUCAUAAAAGUAUGACAGCUAGAUCCCCAUACACAAUUAAUAGGUCGACCCAAAGAUAAUUAAUACGUGGAUCUUACUUUAAUUAAUAAUAAUAUCCAUAAUUACUCAUAACUUUUUUACCAAAUUAAUUCAUAACAUUAAUUUUUAGUUAUUAUAUCACGUAAAAGUACAAAUAUAUUGGACCUUUAACAAAUGAUUUUUUAUAUAUAAAAUCUCAUAAAAGAAACUACAUAUUAUCAUACAAAAAAUUACAAUAUUCAUAAUUUUAUGUCACAAUAAAUCAUAAGUAAUUUAAAAAAUAUAAAUCAUAACAAUUUUCAUAAAUACUCGUAAAAACUAUUACACUAAUUGGAUCAUAACAAGUUUUUUUCGAUACAUAUAUCAUAAAAAAUGUCUACAUAGUGGACUCCACAUAAAUAAAAAAAAUAAUACUAAAAGUUCUCAUAAAAUUAACCUUAAAUUAUCAUAAAUAACUUGAUGCUAGCAUCUGAAUCUUGUUCAAAAUUUGAGAGGCGUCCUUCCUCCUGAAGUUGUAAACACAUACAUCCACAAAUAACCUGUUUUUAUGAGAUAGUUCAUGUCUUGGCCUAUGUGCAAUGCAAUAAAAUAGAAAUAGAAAAUCAGAUAUAGUUGAUAUGAAGUACUAGUUUUUGAAGAAAAAAGUUUAUGUUUAUCAAGUUUUUGUCACCAUUUUUUUAUUCUAACUGGUUGAAUGUGCGUGAUUGACGACCCGGCUCUUGCCCAAGUGGUCGCCCUCUUGAUUUUUAAGGGUAAAAUUUUGAGUUCGAGCUAAUAAAGGAGUGUCAACACAUUUUAUAACUACUAACAACUAAUUCUUUUUGAUGUAUUAAAAAAAAAGAAUGUACGUGAUUGAUUCUAAUAUUCCAUGUACCCUAGACGUUAUGCAAGGAGAAACCUGAGGACCUGAGGUGAGUCAUUUUAAUUUGUUGAUGAUUUUAAUAAUUAUACGCGGAUUAGAAUUUUUUCAGUUUGCCCAUGAAUAGAACUUAUUGCGUAACCUAAGAAACUUGUAUAGGGAAGAUUGAGGUGGAGUUACAGGGAGAUACGGAAAAAUACCAAUAGCACCGGGGUGACCCUUGAUGGUAGAAAAGAGAAUUGUUUUAGAGGUCGGAUUUUUGGGUGUUUUUAGUCUCAUGAUUGUAUACCUCUACGGAAUAUAGUAGAUUAUUGUUAUUGCCUAUAAACAUAGUCUGGUGUGGGCCAAAUUACGUAAAUUCUUUGUGUGAUUUUUUCUUUAUUGUGUGCGUGAUUAUGCUUCGGUUUGUGUUCGGGGAUGGUGAAAAUUUUUACAUGUGACCUUAAUCAGCAGAGGAAAUAUGAGACGUUAGACAAAUUAUGAGAAAUCCUAUUGUCCUAAAAUUUGGAUUAAGAAAGUUCUUAUAAUUCAAAAUGAAUGAUUCAAAUUUACAUGAGCACAUGAAUCUCACAUAACUAAGUGAUUUUGAACCAUUUAUUUUAAAUUCAUGAAACUUUUUUGAUUCAAAUUCUCGGACAGUAGAGUAUGCAUUCAAUAAUGCGUUCAUGAUACUUUUUUGUGAAUAUAUUACAAUACAUCUCCAAUUAGUAUUGCUUUUAACUAUUUGAAAAGUGUAAUGUUCCUAUAUGUGUUUUAAAUUCUCAUAAUUUGGCUGAUUCACCCAGUGCAGGCGGUACCAAAUCUUACUUUUGUUUUAAUAAUGAAAAUUCUUUGCCUUUAUAAAGCUACAAGAUAAUUACUUUUUUGAAUAAAGAUACCUUGCGAAUGUGCAUAAAACAUGAAAUAAACAUGAACAUUGAACGCACCUUUUCUUGGGCAAAUCAAUUCUAUAGAAACAAGUUUUUUUAUAUAAAAUUUGCAUACAAAAUAAUGUGAGUCGUUUAUAUCAUACUGGCCCACAUUUUUUAGUUGUGUUUCGGCCAAAUAGAACUCAUUUUUGUGCUUGCUUGGCUUGUGUUAGUGUUUAGCACACAUUAUUGAAUAUAAUUGAUACAUUUUUUCUUAUUUUUGUAUACUUGCACGUGUUAAAAUAUUCGAUUUAAAGUAAUUGUUCUCAAAAGUUAGCUCAGCAUACUACCACUCAUUCUCGUGCCAUCGCAGAUCGUGGUUACCAGGACUGAAAUACAUAGAAAGGGAAAAUGGAACUGAUUUGGAAAAAUCCAAAGUGGCUACAGUGUUCGUCGACAAUCUACCAAAAGAUGUAUGGAAGGUAUGGCUAUACAAUCUCUUCUCCAAGUUUGGGAAAAUUCAGAGCAUUUAUAUUCCCAACAAGAAGAGCAAAAUUCUGGGAACCAAUUCGGGUUUGUGAGGAUGGGGAGUCCUCAGAGCUAUAAGGGCUAUAAAGGAAAUGACUGGCUUUGGAUUUGGGAAUAACUCUGGUGGCCAAACAUCGCUUAGAUUUGGGUGUCCAAAUAAAAUGGAGUCCAUAUCAAUCAAGUAUAAAUAUCCGACAGGGAUCACGGAGAGAAGGGUCCAGGGAUUGAUAGAGUCCAUGAGGGAGGGAGAAGUUGCGGAGUGAAUCUAAGUAUGCAAAGGACCUGCCGUACAAUAAACUAGAGAUAAAUCCAAAAUAGAGCAGCAAGUUUGGAGGAAAAAGGAGUGCCAUACAAGAUCAAAUUGAACCAAGGAACUCAUGGGAGAGUGGAAAUUUCCACAGUAAAGGUGAAUGAGUGGGUGAACGGAUGGUUAUAUAGAUGCCAUUGCAAAAAUUUCGUCGACAAGUUUCGAUGUCGAAUUCAGACAACUCAGGAAUCUAGGCGAGGUGCACGUCCUGGUAGGCAUAUGGGUGGUGAAUAUGGUGGUCCUAACGUAUCCAGGAUCGUGGAAGAAAAGGGAAUCUAUGUUUCAGGAAGGUAAAUUGGCAUGGUUAAUAGAAUGGUUUUGUGGAGAUCUUCCAGUGGGAGAAUACCAAUUAAAUCCAUGCGCAGAUGGUAUGGCUAAACUGUUAUGGAAUCCUCUCCAUCUUUGGAAUUUCCAAACCUUCUCAGAAAUUGGAAAAUCUGGGGCGAGGUCAUUAUGCUAGCUGAAGAACACUCAACGUUAUGCCUUCUCGGUGGGAAAAAUAGUUAUAUCAACAACUGUAAUGGAUUUGAUCAAUAAGGUUAUGGAAUGGAUAAUAAUGGCAGCUCUUUCCAAAUCACGCCAUGGAAGAACAACUUGUGUGAAACACAGUUCUACGCACAGAUUGUGCUUGUCCAGGAUUUCAAGUGGAUGCUCAUACACUGAAUCACAACUUGGCUGAAGAAGUAUACAAUCUACCAUGCAAGAGUGUAAUGGCGAGGAUCCGAUUUAAAAUCCCUCUGAUUGAGGAAUUAGCAGAGGCUAUCACUACCGCACUACAAGAUGGUGCCCUCUAUUGUGUGGUCUCAAGUCAUACAAAGGCUGAAGACCUCAUGUCUAGUAAACAUCAAUAGCAUGCAGCGGUUCUUUUCUGGGUCUAGAGGCUAUGAACACACUGCUCGUACACAAGGUUGGGUGACUUAACUCUCAUCAAAGGCAACAGGGUGGCAGCAAUAUCCUAUUUAGAUGCUCUAACGAGCAACUUGAGGCUACCCAAUUGUUGGUACGACCCCCUUAAGGUAAAUACCUCAUCCCCCAAUCCCAGAGUAAAAUAAUCUUAGUAUUGUGGUCCACAAAAAACAGUUACUUGCCUCUAAAGGUAAACACCUUCAUUUCACUAAUUCCAAACCAUAUACCUCAGAGCUGAGAAGAGCCUCAUUAUUGUCUCCCCCCCAAAAAAAGGCACCCCAAGGGCCCUAAAGGAUUUCAUACCAGACUCCAAUUUACCUUCAGUUCUGAUGCUCUGGAUGAGAAACCAAAAAGGAGCAGAUGUUAGUAGAGGAUAUUCUAGGACUAUCAAAACCCCGAAGACUAAGAAAGGGGAGGAUGGAAACAAAAAUGUGUAGUAUUUAGACAGCUAUGGCUGCUGUCUUUGCACUGUCGUGUCCACAGAUGGGAUUUACAAACAUGAAAAAGAUCCUACUAAGUGAAUCCAAAGCUGCGCGGGGGUGCGUGUCAGGGCAAAAAUUUUGGGACCUGAUUAUAUGGGUAAUGAUGAAUAAGUAAUUAGUAGGAUAAUGGUUGUAGUGAUGAGGAAGCUGAGCUGAGACUAUAUCCUUGCUGUCUAAUUCCCAAGUAACAGUUUCAAACACAGGCAGUAUGAAAAUUCCUCUCCCUGAAUUUAGAGGUUGGGGAAGAGGGAAAAGGGAGUAACAGUGAAAGAAAUUCUAAGUAUCUAAAGGUGGACAUGUUGCUACUACAAUAAACAAGCUUUAAGGACUUAAGCCUAUCAUCUUACAGUCCAUUUGGGGGAUAUCUGAGGUUUUUUUGGUACAUGUUGAUGCUGAUGGGAGUGCUGUGGUCUAAUUACUCUAUGGAGGACUGAUUCCCUUCAUGUUAGAAUCCUCAUGUUGUAAUAGAAACUUAUUUUGUAGUGGUGUCAUUCUACCUGAUUUCCCUGUACUAUCUUGAACGUGUAUGGGCGCUAUACUGUCUCUGAAAGGGAAAGGAUUUGGGGGGGUUUCAACUUGUCCCCUUAAAAGCCAAUUUCCUCUGUCCCUGGUGUAUGGGUGAGAUUUAAUGAAGUUAGAAAUCUGAGUGAAAGGCAAGGUUAUUCUAAUAGGGACAGAGGGAUGAUGGGGGGGGGAAGACUACAUAACUUCAUUGAGGCUAUGGCUGAGUAGACAUCAAUUGAAUUGGUAUGAAGUUACAUGGUCAAACAAUCAGAGGUAGAGAAGUGGAGUAGAAUUGAUAGGUUUCUUUAUUGAGUCAACAUUGGCUACCAGGUUUAAUUAAAGAUGGGGGCCUGCAAAACUAUUUCUGAUCAUUGCCCAAUUUUAUUAAAGUUGAUGAUAGGGAUCGGGGCCCAAAGCCAUUUACAUUUUUAAUGCUUGGCUAUCUAACUCCAAUUGUAUUCGAAUAGUGGAGAAUCUGGGCUAAGUAAUUCUGAUCAAGGGUUUGGGGGGCAGCUUUUGAAUCCAUAAGAAAUUAAGAAUUGAAGCUUCCCUUCAAACUCUGGGCAAGGAAAGUUUUGGAGGGUUACUAGUCAAAGAUUGAGAUUGUGGAAGAGAUCUUCAGGAUUUGGAUAUAAAAGCUGAGAAUGGUAUUCUAUCUGAUGCUGAUAGGACACAAAGAAGGAUCUGAGGUCAGUUAAUGUGGAAGCUAAGUAGAUCUAUGGACAGAUGUGGUGGCAAAAAGAAGUCCGAGACUAAAUGGCAACUUCAAGAAGACAAAAAUUCGAAGUUCUUCAUUCAGGGUCAUAAUGGCAAGCAUGAUAAAAUAAACUUAUUUUAGUCAAUUAUGAGCAAAUUGAGGAUCCAAAUCUAAUAUAAGCAAGCGUUUCCACUACUUCAAGGGCUUGUAUGAAGAAAUAUGGCAAUUAGGCCAAUGUCCAUAGAAAGGCCAAGGUUAAUAUCAUAGUGGUUAAUGCAGAUCCAUUUGUGUUCUUUUACUGAGGAUGAAAUCUGAGAUGUAUCACAUCCUGUGAUGGGAACAAGGCUCCUGGACCAGAUGGAUUCAAUAUGCUAGUAUUAAGAAAGGCAUGGUAUUGUCAUGAAACAGGAUAUUCGAUUUAUGGAUAAUUCCAUAGUAAACUUAAGCUACCCAAAUGCUUGAAUUCCUCUUUUAUAACCCUGAUUCCCAAAGUUCAAAGCCCCAUGUCUCUGUCGAAUUUCUCUCAAUAAGCCUCAUAGGAAGUAUGUUAAAAUUUUUGGCAAAGUCUUGGCAUGCAGAAUUAACAAGGUAUUCCUAUGGUAUUGGGAGAGGUCCAAUCAGCUUUUAUAGUGGAGAACUAUCCCAGAUGGUAUCCUUAUUGCAAAAUGAGGUGGUGGAGGAUGAAAAGAGUGAAACAGGGUCAUCAUUAUCAAGCUAGACUUUGAAAGGCUUUGAUACAUUAAUUGAACUAUUUGUUGAAAAUGAUGGAUCUCAUGGGAUUUCCUCAAAGGUGGAGAGAUUGGAUUAAAGAGUCCUUUCUUCUGCAAGUGUUUCUGUCUAGUAAAUGCUCUCCUUGGUAAGAGUUUUCCGAUGCAUAAGGGGGUCAGACAGGGUGAUCACUUCGUGCCUUUCCUAUUCAUCUAGGCAGCUGAAGGGCUAAACUGGAUUCUUAAGAGGGCUUAUAGUCAUGGGGUCAUUCAGUGGUCCUACAUAUGGGUACUGCUGGGAGUGAUUUUCUCACUUACCAUUGCUGUGACUAUUAAUUUUUUGUCACACAAGGUGGAAGAGGUGGUUUUCCUUAAGAAUCUCUAGGGAACUUUGAGUCAAGUAUCUGGACUAAAGAUCAACUACAUAAAUGCUGUAAUGUGUAGUGUGGUGGGCUCGCAAUAGAUGGGUGAAGUCCUUGGCCAAUGUCCUAAACUGCCAAGGUCCAAAAGCUGCUUCCCAUAAAUACUUUGGGCUUCCUCUUGGAGCUAAUCCCAAUUGAAAGAAACCUGGAAGCCAUGGUUGAAAGGUCGAUCAAGAUUGUCUUCAUGGAAGAGGAGGAACCUAUCAUUUGGUGGUAGAAUUGUAACUAAUCACCGCUGCUUUUUUAGCCUACCUUUAUCCUAUAAUUUCAAUAUUCACGAUGCCAUUGGUGUGAUUAAGCAUUAGUCAUACAAGCAAGAUUUCUAUGGGGGGGCUCUGACCUCAGAAAAAUUGCACUUGGUUGGCAUGGUCAAGCCUCAAACGUAACUCUGUGUGGGGGUCUUGUAUCAGAACAUUAAACUUAUGUAAUGAGUGCCUAUUGAUGAAGUGGUGGUGGAGAUUGGAUUGAAAAAUGCCCCUGGAGGCAAGUCUUAAAUGCCAAAAUACAAAAGUGGAGGGGAGAGAUGAUUCCAACAUGGAGCUAAAUAGGAAAGUAUCAAAACUUGAAGAGACUUAUGCUAAUUUGUGUACGGCAACAUUGCUUUUCGAGGCUUUCAUAGAAAAUGCAGCUGAGAAUUGGGGAUGGUAGAUCAAUCAUGUGUUUUGGGAGGAUAUAUGGCUAGGCAACUCCCUCUUCAGUCCUUUUUCCCCACUCUGUUUAAAUCUUAAGCAACAGUCUGAGACCUUGGGUGAUGUAUUGGCAAGAUUUGAGGAUCUUCAUGGCUGGGUUGUUUUGUUCAGAAGACCUUGCUGGUAGGGAAUCAGAAGCCUUACAGAGCUCAAGGAGGUAAUUGGAGGGUUCUGAAGUGGGUGGCCACAUCAGAUAGGCAGGAUUCAGGUUAAUUUGGCAAGGCUCCUUCUGUAAUUUUCUGUCAAGUGCAUUAUAACUGGGCGUAUCUCUACUCAUUCAAGUGUUUAUCAGAAUUUUGAGUUAAUCUGGCAGAAUGUUGGGCCCCCCCCCCCGUUGCAAUGUUUUGGUUGGCUAACUAUCUUGGCAAGUAAAACUGCUGAUUUCCUAUUCAGAUUAGUUAUAUCCAGGAUGAGUGUGAAUGCUUUGUGCUCAUUUUGCAACAUGACUUGAACUCUAGAUCAUUUAUUGCUUCAUUGCUUCCUGUUUGGAAUUGUUGGGCUGCCAUUCUAGGUGGGUGUGUGUUGUCUGGGUAGCCCCUGCAUCUAUAGGCGUUUGUUUUAUUGGGUGAGAGCCUGGUCCUUGGAACUCACGGGUAAAGCAUCUGGACUCCAAGCCCUUUGGCUGUGUGUUGUCUAUAUGGAAUGCUAGAAACAAAAAAAUUUUGAUAACACCCAGUGAAUUGCUUGAUAUUGUUUGAUCUCAUUAUUGGCUUCGCAUAGCCUUCUGGGUAUCAUCAAGCACGGACGUAGAGAUCUAUCAAUGGAGCAUCCAAUAUAGAGAUGAAUUCAGGGAUUCGUGAAAGGUAGAAUUCCCCAAUCCUUUGUUGAUAGGAUUCUUUUGGGUGUCUUUGGAUCUUUGGACAAGUUACGGGUUUAACUCUGAGUUGGAUCCCCAAAGGUUGUUGAGCUUCUUGUAUGUUAUGGAGUUCAUGUUGUUUGUAAUUGUUAGUUUUAGUCCGUUUUUUCUUUUGGUUGGGUGGAAGGGUUGAUUGCUUAUCACUGUCUCUUUAGCCUAUUAUGUUAUUCUGUUCUCAUUUCAAUGAAACUUUCUUCUCGCUGGUUCAAAAAAAAAAAUAUUCGAUUUAAACAAUUUUAUUUACAAGUUAUUUUUGUGAGAGUUGUAGGAACUUUGACGUUAAAGACGUCCUCCUACCCACGUUUGAGUAUAUCGAGGAAGUUAUGAUGAAGUCAAAUGGCUAGGAGAAGCCCGGAGUGGCAAUGUGAGACCAAAAUGAGACCUAGGCAACCAAAGCAGAAGAACUACUGGUAGUUGAUGCAGGACUACCAGUGGACAAGGCAUUUCAAAGGCGAAAUCAGAAUAUUCACUACUAGUAGUGAGUUCAGCACUACUAGUAGUCCAUACUUCCAUAGAUUAAUCAAGGUUUAAGCACUACCGAUAGUGGAUUCAUGAUUACCAGUAGAUGGAGGAUUCAGGCAGCUCCAAAGACAAAAGAAUUAUCGGUAGUGAAUGCUUAAACCAGAACUUUUUUAACUUUUAUGUGCAACUUUUAAGGGUAUUUUCGCCUUUUCAUUAGGACUUUUUUACGGUCUAUUUAAACAACUUUUUUAAAAUUUUCAAGAAUUGAAUUCAUUUUAGGUUUAACUCCAUUUUAGAUCUAGAAGUUAUUAUAGAGAGAAAGAGAAGAAGAAGUGGGUUUAUGUAUUAAAAGUUGUAAAUCUUUAAUUUUUCUACUCUCAUUUGCUCAUUUAUGAUUAUAAGUACUUUUUAUUGUUAAUUUUAAACAAUUUCAAUUUCUCUGAACUACUUGUUGUGCUUCUUCUUUUUUUAUAUUUCUUGUCUUUUCAUUUUCUACUUUUUAUUUAAUCUUUUGUAGUAUAUCACCUUAAGAUGAACUCUACACAAUUAUGGUUGCUACCCACUAUUUUGGGACUUGGUCGCAAGAGUUAGAUUUCCAUUUUUUGACCUAGGUUUGAUUGGUUAAUUGUCUCUAAAAUGGUUUACACGCGUGUUUGAAAUAUUAGGGCAAAAUAUUGUGCAGUCUUAACUAGGUUCCAUAUAUCCUUUAAUCCAUGUGUCAACAAGCUUGCCUUGGGUACAUUGAUGCUUAGUUUCCCUGUACUCUAAGUGUGUUUGAUAAAAUGUCUCAAAACCUUUAAUCAUUCACAAACACACUCAUUUGUAUGAGAAACAUGAUUUUAAACUUAAAUCUUUCAACUAAUAUCAUAGUAAAAAUGAGAUGUGGUUGAGUUAAAUGAGAGAAAAAACUCACCUACCAAAGUUAAGAAGGAAUCGAGUUUUUAAACUUUGCCUCCUUUAAUUUUAUAGUUAAAUUACUAUAGUGUAAACAAAAUCAACAUUUCACAACCAAAACAUUUUUCAUAACUUUAAUAUUAAAUUAUUUGUUUACUCACUAUAGAAAAUUCGGCUUAUCAUUAGUUCCCUAUUGAGAAUUGAUAUCAGGCAUUCUGAAUAUUAUGCUGCAUUGAUCACAGGUUUUUACGCAUGGAAACAUACGCAUUUGGAAAGCAAACAGUUAGUUAGAAAGCAAACUAUGAGAGAGUGAAAUAGGUUUGCUAAGAUUUAAUGGCCAGUUAAAUUUCUUCUCAAUAACUUACACAAACAAUGAACUUCUAGAUUUAGCAUGUAAGCAAUGUAAAAGGAGAGAAGAGAAAAUGAUGCAAAUGAUUUAGAGUGAUUCGGCGAAUCUUGGCGUACAUCCACUCUCUAAGCUUUUUCUUGAAAAUUCACUAACUUCAAGCUUAAGGGUAUUUGAUAACAUUUACAACUACUAGAACUCUUCUAGUCUUUAAGAUACUACUUCUCUUGAAAAUUCUCAAUCACUAACAGUGAUCUUCUUAAUAAAAUACAAUAGUUUGAAGUAACUAUUUGCUCAUAUAAUCUAGAUUGAUAAUAAAUAUAUUGAAGCUCUCUUGUCUAGAGUUAUCUAACUUUCUUGAUCUCAAUCAAGCGCAUAAUGAAUGACCUCAAUUAAGCGCACAAUGAAUGGAAGUAAUGAAUACAAGUGAGUGUAAGGAUUAAAAGCACUUCAAUUACUUUUCCAACAACUCCAAUGAUUGAAUUUAUAAACCAAAAAUGAAUUAUAGUCAUUGUAGCAUUAAAUGCAACUGAUUUAGUCGUUCUGAUUUAAUCACAGUUGUUGGAUCUAUGAUUUAGACGUGCAAGAUCAAACUUUCAAACUUUGGUCGAUCGAACUUGAAUUUCGAUCGUUUGAACUAAAAGUCCAUAGGCUUGCAUUUCUUGUUUGCUGAGAGUUUUAUAAUUUUCGGUCGACCGAACUUGAACUUCGGUCGUGUUUGAAUUAUAAUUCUAGUGAGCACUUAUGUCGCUCUGCUUUUUGUUUGAUCUUCGAUCGGUUGAACCCUCUGAACUUUGGUCGUGCGCUUCUAAAUUUCGGUCGAUCGAAUGUAAACUUUGGUCGUCAUGAACUAUAUUUCCAAAGAACAAGUCUGUCUUGAACUUUUGAUUUUUCUGUCAUUUGGCUGACCUUUAUACAAGUUCAGUCGUGGCUUCCUAACUUUGGUUGACCGAAAGUAAAGUUCGGUCGUCCUUUAACUUAAAUUCUAGUGAGCAAUUUAAACACUUGUUUUGUUCCUUCAAACUUCGGCUAAGCCUCUUAUGCUUCAGUCGACUAGUUCGGUCAAUCGAACUUUUGACAAUAACAACUUUUGUGUUAUUUUUUUGUUUUGAGUGUUGAAUUUGUUCUUUUGCCUCUUUCGUAUACUCAAUGACACUGAUUAUGACUUGUGAGGAGUUUCAACUCUCACUUUAAUCGUGAGUAAACCUAUUUUUAAGACCACUGUUGUAUUUCCUUAUUUAAAAUAAUUUUCAACAAAAGUUUAUCUUUAACUUAGCUUUUAACAAUUGUAAUCAUCAAAAUCAAAUAAACAUUUAUUUCAACAGCUUGUCUUUAUGGUUUGGGGGAGGUGUAUGGGCGUAGGAGGGGUUGGGAAGGAACUUGAUAGGUUUAUACUUACUUGGUUUUUCUCUUUGCUUAUUUUCAUGACUUGUUUAACUUAGUUUUUUUUUAAAAAAAAACUACAGUGAUUUUUUACUAUUUCUUAGCCAUCCCAAGCAGAAAAGUUGAUUUCUUAUCUCACUUUUUGUAUUUUAGCCACAAGUAAAAGAAUAGCUAAACCAAACGGGGCCUUAGUGAGAGAGCAAUGGUACAUACAUAUAAUAGUUACAUAUAUUGUUCAUACAUAAUACGGUAGAUCUUUUUUCUCUUCUAUUUUUUUCAUAAUAAAGUAUUAGUUACUAUGAGAGGAUAAAAUAUCCCGCUUCAUUUCCGGUAGAGCUUUAACGAGCGCUGUCGUUGGACUGUCACUUUAUAGCAAGUUCGGUCAGUAUUUUCACAAUUUUUUGAGCGACAGUGGCAGUGGCGGCGAUGGCGGUGAUGGUGAAAAAUAGUAAAAAAAUUAUUAAUAAUUUUAUUAUUUAAAAUAACAAACAAUAUAAUUUUACUGUUAUGAGUGGUAGCGGCAAUGACAAUAGUAGUGAAUAAGAGUAAAAAAAUAAAAAAAAUAAUAAUUUUAUUACUCAAAAAGGAAAACAGUACAAUUUUAUUAUUUUGGGUGGUGGAGGCAAUGACGAUGGUGGUAGAGAAAAAUAAUAAUAAAAAUUCAAAAAUAAUUUUGUUUUCAAAAUAAGGGCAGAAUCAUCAUAAAAAACUCCAUAAUAUAAAUGGAGGACCUUAGCCAGAAAAUCUUUCAACUUAAUGGACUUCACAAUUUGGCAAAAAUAUUUACUGAACUAAUUGUUAAUUCAAGCUCAAUUCAAAUACUUCGGACCAAUUUUUUUUUAUCAUAAAAGUAUGACAGCUGGAUCCUAAUACACAAUUAAUAAGUGGACCCAACGAUAAUUAAUAAGUGGAUCCCACUUUAAUUCAUAAUAAUAUUUAUAAUUAGUCAUAAUUAUUUUACUAAAUUAAUUAAUAACAUUAAUUUUUGGUUAUUAUAUCUCAUAAAAGCACAGAUAUAUUGGACCUUGCGUUAAUUAUACAUGGGCCCACAUAACAAAUGAUUUUUUUUAUUUUAUAAAAUCUUAUAAAAUAAACUAUGUAUUAUCAUAAAAAGAAACUACAUUAUUCAUAAUUUUAUGUCACAAUAAGUCAUAAGUAAUUUAAAAAAUAUUGUCAUAAUUACUCGUAAAAACUAUUAAACUAAUUGAAUCAUAACAAGUUUUUUUGGACACAUAUCAUAAAAAAUAUCACAGUGGACUCUACAUGAAUAAAAGAAAUAAUACUAAAAGUUCUCAUAAAAUAAAAUGGACCUUAAAUUAUCAUAAAUAACUUGAUUCUAGCAUCUUAAUCAUGUUCAAAAUUUGAGAGGCAUCCUUCCUCCUGAAGUUAUAAACACAGACAUCCACAAAUAACCUGUUUUUAUGAGAUAGUUCAUGUCUUGGCCUAUGUGCAAUGCAAUAAAAUAGAAAUAGAAAAUCAGAUAUAGAUAUGAAGUACUAGUCUUUGAAGAAAAAAAUUAUGUUUAUCAAGCUUUUGUCACUAUUUUUUUUUAUUCUAACUAGUUGAAUGUUUGUGAUUGACGACCCGACUCUAGCUCAUGUGGUUGUUCCCUUGGUUUUAAGGGUAAGAUUCUGAGUUCGAGCUGAUAAAGAAGUGCCGACACCUGUUAUAACUACUAACAACUAACUCUUUUUGAUGUAUUAAAAAAAAGAAUGUACGUGAUUGAUUCUAAUAUUCCAUGUACCCUAGGGCAUAGACGUUAUGUAAGGAGAAACUUGAGGUGAGUCAUUUUAAUUUGCUGAUGAUUUUAAUAAUUGUACGUGGAUUAGAAUUUUUUGAGAGUUUGCCCAUAAAUAGAACUUAUUGGGUAACCUAAGAGACUUGUAUAGGGAAGAUUGAGGUGUAGAUAAAGGGAGACACGGAAAUAUACCAAUGGCACCGGGGUGACCCCUGAGGGUUGAAAAGAGAAUUGUCUCAGAGCUUGGAUUUUUGAGUGUUUUUAGUCUCGUGGUUGUAUACCUCUACGGAAUAUAGUGGAUUACCGUUCUCGCCUGUGAAUGUAGGUUGGCGUGGGCCAAAUAACUUAAAUUCUUGUGUAAUUUUUUCUUUGUUGUGCGUGUGGUUAUGCUUCGAUUUGUGUUCGGGAAUGGUGAAAUAUUUUACAUGUGACCUUAAUUAGCAGAGGAAAUAUGAGACAUUAGACAAAUUAUGAGAAAUUCUACAAGUCCAAGAAGUUGGAUCUAGAAAGUUCUUAUAAUUCAAAAUAAAUGAUUCAAAUUCACAUGAGCAUAUGAAUCUCGCAUAAUCAAGUGAAUAUGCACCAUUCAUUUUGAAUUCAUAAAACUUUUUUGAAUUUAAAUUCUUGGACCAUAGAUUAUGCAUUCAAUAAUGCGUUCAUGAUACGUUUUUUGUGAAUAUAUUACAAUAAUAUCUCCAAUUAGUGAUUGCUUUCAACUAUUUGAAACGUGUAAUGUUGACAUAUAUGUGUCUGUAUUCUCAGUAGAUUUUGCUGGAUGCACCCAGUGCAGGUGGUACCAAAUCUUACUUUUGUUUUAAUAAUAAAAAUUCUUUGCCUUUAUAAAGCUACGAGAUAAUGACUUUUUUGAAUAAUGUUACCUUGCGAAUGAGCAUAAAACAUGAAAUAAACAUGAACAUUGAACGCACCUUUUCUUGGGCAAAUCAAUCCUAUAGAAACAAAGUUUUAUAUAAAAUUUGAUUAUAAAAUAAUGUGAAUCGUUUAUAUCAUGCUGGCCCACAUUUUUUAGUUGUAAUUCUUCUAAACAAAAUUCAUUUUUUUUUCCUGUUUGGCUUGUCUUUAUAGUUGGGCGAAUGAUUUUUAGCUUGUAAACGCUCUCGCAAAACCCCUAAAUUUUGUUACCGUAAUAAAUUGUAUGCAGCGGUGUUAUGGUGAAAUAAAAACCAGAGAAGUUUGAAUUAUUAGGUUGAAAUGAACAGACCAAAAGCAAGAAUAAAGUCCAAUCCUGGUUUUAAAGGUUACAACUUGACUUGUGAACUUAAAAAACACCAUAAGCUAACAACAAGAAGCCCUGUUUUAUUCAAACUGUAACUCAAAUCAUUCAAUUCAGUAGCCGUAGAGCUUCGUGGGCAGGCGUGGGGUGAGAAGAACCUCCAAUGGCGUUGCUUUCGGAAUAGUCAGCCCUGGACUCUCACUCAUAUCAACUGGCAAAUCCAGUGGGCUUGCCAAAUCGAACCCGUGAAGGAGACGGGCAAGGGUCAGGUGCAGGACUUGGAGAGCAAACGACACACCCGGGCAUGACCGCCUGCCUGAACCAAAAGGAAUGAGCUCAAAGUGUUGCCCUCUCACAUCAACAUUUUCGUGGUUGGUGAAAAACCUCUCUGGUUUAAAGAUCGAUGGAUCGGUCCAAACUCUCGGGUCCCUCUGAAUCUUCCAUAUGUUCACUAUUAGGCGGGUCCCGCCUGGGACGUUGUAGCCGCCUACAGUACAACUUUCCAUGGCUUCUCGGGGUCCUAAGAGCGGACCGGCAGGGUACAAACGCAGGGUUUCCUUGAUGAUGGCUUGAAGAUAGAUAAGGUUUUUGAUGUCUGAAUCAUCAACUUGUCUGUCCGCACCAACAUGGAGGUCUAAUUCUUCUUGUGCUUUCUUUAACGCUUCUGUGUUGUUCAGAAGUAACGAGAUUGCCCACGUCAACGUGCCCGCGGUGGUGUCGCUGCCACCUAGGAUGAGUGCCUGCAUAAAAAAAUUAAACCAAUUCAAUUAUCCGGAUAUAAAAUGCUAUGUACCCAAUAAAAGUGGCCCAAAAAGAACCCCCCAAAAAACUUUAAGAGAUAGUUAUAGGACUCUUCAACCUAUUUGAUCACUCAUUAGCUAUAUAGAUUAAAGAACAUAGCAUACCAAGCAGGUAGAUUUGAUGCUAGUAUUUGAAUCAUGUUCAAAAUUUGAGAGCCGUCCUUCCUCCUGAAGGGACAGCAUCACAUCAAUGAAAUCCUGCUCGCUCUUAGCCUCACCAGCCCUUCUCCUUUGACGAUGCUCCUCCAACCAACCUUCGAGUAUCGAAUCCAACUCUUUGGCAGUCUUUUUCAUCGCUCGCUCGUGGCCAUUCACAUCAAACCACCCCAAGAAUGGAAGUGCAUCAGAGACCACGAAAAUGCCAAUGAGGUGAAAGAACUGACUAAUCGCCUUCUGGCAACGUCUGGCUUCGUCAUCAUCACAGUCAGCUCCAGCACCAAAAUAGCGUUUUCCAGCCACCAUUCUAACAACAACGUUAAGUGUGAGAUCUUCUAACCAACGUUUGAGCUCCACAAGCACAGGGCGGUUUCUGUCUUUGAGUCCACAAGUUGUACAGCUCCCCAAUCCCCAUGUUCACUUCGGAAGUCCGCACGUGUUUGAGCAUUUCAAGCCGGCGGUUUGAGAGGAGCUCGAGGGUGGCAAUCUUCCGCAUCUCGCGCCAGAAGGGGCUGUAUGGUGCAAAACCAAACACCGCGUAGUUGUAGCCCAUUAGCUUUGCAGCUGCAGUAGUGGGACGAGAAGCAAGUGCCUUGUCAUUAUCAGUGAAGCAUUCUUUCGCUACUUCCCAGCUAUUCACUACGAAAGCACGGCGACUACCGAGGCGGAUGUUGAAUGCUGGUCCGUACUUAUCGGCCAUGUCUCCGAGUGUUCGGUAGAGAAGCUGAUCGACACCACCAAGUAAAUGGAGGUGGCCGAUAAUUGGCCAUGCACCAGCUGGUUGAGGAGCUUCUUUGACAGUAAUCAUGCUUGUUUUUUGAUUCUUCUUUCCAACUAAAGCACAGUAAACAAAAACCAAGGUAACAAACGCCCCAAUGACUGGUAAACAGAAAGAAGAGUCCAUUGUUUGGUGAUGAGAUAAGCAGGGACAAUAGACCGGGUCCAUUUAUAAGCCCAUUUCAAGAGCAUUUCGAGCAUGAAGCAUACCACAUUUUGGUUAAAAUUCUGAUUCCUGGCAUGGUACAUGACCUGCCUUUACUUUUAUUCAAAUCCACAUACAUACAUAGACAAAUUCACUCAUGGACACUCAGGGUCUACAUUCUUAAUUGCCUAUAGCACACAGACAGUUGGACUCUACCCCAGUUACUUCCAAAUAAUACAGGAGAUUCUCUACCUACCCGAGCAACCCAUGGAAUUUUUGAUGAUUAUGUGUGUAUAAUGAAAGGUAUUAAAAGACAUUGGACCUAUUCCAAUUGUUUAAAAUACUAACUAUAUAACAAUCAAUUACCAAAACAUCAUGCACACAACUAAGCCAAUAUUGGAACUCUAGCCUGCAUCAUUUUAAUGAAGAAAAUUAACAAAACAGAACCAAGAUAAGCAUUUGGAUUGACCCUGAAUGUCAUUCUUCUUUGUUCAGUUGUUUGUGGAAAAAAUGAAUGUUUUCUUUCACUUUUCACAUUUGAGUAACAGUAUGCUGACUAUAUGGGUCUGUACAAUUGAGAGUGGGAGAAACCAAUAUAUACAUACAUAUAUUUAAAAAGAGACCAUUGCACUUUCACUAACAUUUCAGUUCGCACCUUUCAUUUCCAAUUGUGUCAAUUUAUCCAAUACACUUUAGGUCAAGGUUCAAUGUGUCCUUUGCUUCCAUUUUAUAUUCAAUAAAGUGAUAGAAAGAGGCCAUGUGGCCUCACGAAAGGAGACCCAGCGCUCCCCCAAAAAAAAAAUUUUGAAUGGCAAAUGGAUGGAAGGGCUAUAUUGACACUUGACUUAAGAGUAUAGGAAAUUGACUAAUACAAUUGAAAGUAGAGGGUGCAAAGUGAGAUUUCAUGAAAAGUGAAAUUAACCUUAUAAAUAAUGCAGGGAAUCACAAGAGUCAACUCACUCCCCUACAAGAAAAAAAAAAAAAGAGAAUGUGGAAUAUUAUAUAUAUCAAAUUGAAUUAUGAUGCUGAGUAUGGUUAUAGAUUGACUAGAAUGUUUACAGAGGUUUCAGAUUUCCUUUAGCAUAAUAGUUGCAAGGAGAGUGAGACUGUCAAACCUUCAGUAUUUGAAGCAUGGAUCAUGCCGCUCUACCACCUUCAGUAUGGUGUUUGAAGCAUGGUUCCUCCAGCUUUUUGCUAAAAAACAAAAGGUGUAUACGCAUGGAUGAAUGAAUAUGCUGAUAUUUGACAAGUCAGUUAUAUUGUGACAUAUAACAGAUGCAUGAUAUUUGACAAGUCAGUUCUGGUAACACAUGAUAGAAUAUGACAGUACUGAAAGGAUCAAACUAGUUGUAAGGUAUCAUUUUAUGGAAUGUAUGUGUUUCUUAGCUUUUCAGCAACAAAGCUCUUGUUAAUAAACAAGUUUUUCUUCUUUGCUAUUCAAAAUUUUCAGGUUUUUCCAAAGUGGUUUGUUAAUAAACAACUAAGGGCUAGCGACUCUUCGGUUUUGCAUGAUUGAUAACUCUUAUUGUAUACAUGAAGAGUAUCUCCCACUCAGACCAUAACAAAUGUUAGAUCAAAGAUGGUCAUAGGGAUGACAAAUGGAUUUUUUUACCAAAAAUUUCCAUAGAAACAUAGGUCAAACAACAAACCUCAUAACCGCCUUUGUUUUGUGGACUAAAAUGCACCUUCAAAUACCAUUAACUAUUUGUAAAUUGACAUAACCUCAGUCAUCACCACCAGCCAAUUCCUACAACACUCCCAUAUACCCCGACACCCGUCACACAAAUUGAGACCUAAUUGAAUAUAAUAAAGAUCUUCAUUCAAACAAAGGAACUUUGCAAUCCCAGAUUCCUGAUUGGAAAACUAUCAUAAUGAUGUUGGAGUGGGAAAACCUUAAAAUUACUCCCUUUGUGAGACCUACAAAUGGGCUAAUCUUUUAUAAGUUGUAACAUAAUAAAGGGUGUUUUAAAAAUUAAGGAGUUGGGUUUAGAAACUUGCUUGCAAAUACUUGGGUGUCCCUGUUGAACAAAUUCAUAGUGGUUAUGGAAAAACAGUGGAUUCGAGUGAGUCAUUUGGAAAAAGAGUGAACACCGGCUCUAGGAGUAACCCAUGCCCACUUCCCAAACGCCUAAUUCAGCUACCCUAUGAUAGUCCAACAGCCAACAAUUGUAACUUCGAUAGACUUUGGCUGUUGAUUCAAUCAUCCAACUAAUUUACUUAUAGGUUUGAUUACGUGCCAUGUGGGCUUGGUUUGGUGAUGUACAAAAUUCCAUAUGUGGAUUUAGUUUGAUGAUGUAAGUAAAUAGAGUUAGGCAGCAAAAGAUUCUCAGGCAAACAUCUGGGUUUAACUUGAUGAUGGCCAUAAGUGAGACGGCGAGAGAUGGGGGAGGGAGGGGAGUGGUUGGGAUCAUGUGGAAGAGAUGGUGAUGGUAGUGGAAUAUCGGAAUGGUGGGGAAGGAGGGAAGCGGUUGGGGUGGGAAUCCAGAUUAAGAGGAGUGGUGAAGGGAAAAGAAGAGAAAAAUGUCUUUUUUGUAAUUGAAAGCAUAACAAGGGUAAUUUUUUGAUGUUAUAACAAAUCCAUUCUCGACCUCGACACGUGUCCUGCACGAACUUUUAACUGGGAUGGAAGGUUUGACAAGUACUUUAGUCCACUAACCAUAGAAUGUUAUGAGAUUAAUUUCCAUUGACACAGAGUAAUCUGCACAUAGCCCAAAUCACAAGGGGUAAAAUGAAGUUUACCCUAGUUACAAUGAUAUAAGCCUCAAUUACCUGGAAUACUGGAAUUUUAUCCGAUUACAUCUCUAGAUGUCUAUAACAUUCACUUCAACACCCAUAGAACCUUGUUGGGAGGUGGAGGAUAAGAAUAACCUUCGGCAGGGUUGCUUUUGGACAGUCAAACCGUGGCUUUCAGUGAUGUCAGCAGGCCUGAUCCAAUGGGAUUGUCAACUCAAAAGCAUGAAAAGGAUAAUCAAGUGUUAGGUAAAGGAGUUGGAGCCAAAAGGACAAACCCGUACAGGAAGUCAACCAGAACCAAAAGGAAUAUUCUCAACUUCUUGGCCCCUUAGAUCAUAGUCGGCAUGGCAAGUGACAUCCGUCAGGUUGAAGGUGGAUGAAUUUUCAAGAUUCUUGGAUCUCUUUGAAGCUUUCAUGCAUUCACAAACAAGAUGAUGCCUGCUAGGAAUUUGUUGACGGAUGUGCAUCUUCUUUGAUUUCGACAUUUCUUCCAACACAAAACAUCCGGAAAAAAUGACUCCCAUAUCCUACGCUAAAACGGAAAUAUCCUACUCCGAUGCCAAAGAUAGAGGCUCAACCUGGUGAUGUCAAUCCUUGAUAACAAGGACACACGAGCACAUGACUAAGAGGGAGAAGUGCUUUAAUCAGAGAAAGGGAAGUCUAUGGCUUCCUGUCCUAAGUAGGGACCUACUGAGUAUAGACACAUGGUUCGAUGAUACACGGGGAUUUUGAAGAUCGAAUCAUCAACUCACCGGUCCUCACCACCAACGAAAUGGAAUCAUGGUACUUGUGCCUUUUCACGCCUUCACAGUUGGUCAAGGCACAUGUUAGUGUGCCUCAUGUUCUGUUAUUGCCAAUGGUGAGAGCCUGCAUAACAAGUUCAUAGAAACUUUAAAAUCCAACAUACAUUUGAAUUUUCUAUUGAAAAUUCUUUAAGCAUUCAUAAAUGGAAAAUCCAUAUUUCUAAAGGUGUCUUAUCAUUAGCAGUGACUACUCACCACGAAAAGCAUGGCGAAGACAUGGCAGAACUUGAAUGCUGAUCCAUACUGGUCACCCAUGGCUCCGAGUGGCCUGUUUGGCAACAAACCUCAUCACGAUCACCCAGUAAAUGAAACAGUUGGUUCAGGAGCUUCUUUAGAAGUCUGACCAUGUUUAACAUUCUUUGGUGUUCCAAGCAACGCGUUAUAGAGACAGACUACGGAGAAAAUAUCACAAUGGCGUAUAAUUGGAAAGAAAAGUCCAUGGCAAGAGAUAAGCAGGAAUAGAGAAGAACCCCCAAUAAACUUAUACUUCCGUACCAACAAUAUUCAAUUCGUACAAAAUGAAGCACGCGAGAUGAGCAAACAUGGAGAACAACCCCCAAUAAAUUUAUAAUUCCGUACCAACAAUAUUCAAUUCGUACGGACUGCAGCAUACCAUAGCCCAAUAAUAGUCUCUCCCAACAAGGAGAAUGGCUUUCAUUAUAUAUUCUGUUCAACCCAUUACCCGUCACAAUGUUAGACUAAUUGCCCAGACUUGGACCAUGUCAAUUGAACAAUCUCCGUAGAUCAAUCAGCCUGGCAUGACAUUGUUUCAUCAUCAAUCUUCUACGAAAUAACUGAGAACUCUUAAACACUGAAGCCACAGUUUUGUACCAAGCUUGCAGGUAGUUGCUGUCUACAAUUCAGCCGAAUUGACGAUCUGGUUCUAACUUUUUCAAUCAAGAAAAUUACACCAAAUUCAGAUUUACACUAGUGUCGAAUGUUACAUGCAUGAUUUUUUUUUUCGCAUUGAAGUCAGCAGUGGCAGAACCAGAAAUUAUCCUUGGGUGGGACACAGCAAAGUCAAUGUUACCCAAUCUCAUUUUCUAUCACCAAAAGUAAUAAAUUCAUAUAAUUGUGAUAUACUCCAGUAAAAUUCACCACAACGACUAAUUAAAAGUUAAAUUAAUGGAAAAUACAUUAUAUAAAAGCAUUCAUAUAUGUUUUACUGAAUUAGCAUCCUGCUGACUGCAUCAUCCUCUAAUACUGGAACAUCUCCUUCCCGUAUCCAGCGAGGAUGGAAGAUAACUACCCAGAUAUCAUCUUGAGAGCUACAUUAUUCGACCAGUUUCCUGCAUAAAUAACGGAUACAAUAAGAUUGAUUGAAAUAUAUAGAAAGGCCAUUGGAUUGUUAGAAAAUCAAACAUGACCAUCAAAUCUGAUAAUGUGUAUAAUUAGGUUGAAUCUUUUGCAUACUUCAACUACAAGGUGAGAAUUAGCUUGAAUUGCCAUGGUGAUUGUUACUUAACCCAAAUUACCAAAUUUCCCUAAUAAUGUACCAAAUUUUGAUAAUUUCUACAAAUACAGGACUGAAAUCUGGUGAAUCCAAAAUCCAAAACUGGAGAUACAGAAUUUCUAGGUCCAAUUCGGUCCUAACUUGUAAUUGUUGUUUCGAUUUCUUGUGUCAGCCAUGGAACGAAAAGCUUGAAAGCAAGAAUCUAAAGAAUAAUAACGAUAAACAUAAAAGAAUACGCACACACACAAAAUUAAAAUAGGUUAUUAAUAGAAAACAAGAUUGAUGAAAAAGGUAAAAGUGUAAGAAUAUGGAAAAGAAAAAAAAAAGACCGACGGUCUGCAUAAAAGGAAAUUAUUUGAAUUUGAAGAAGGGUUACACCCAAUGGUGUAAAUACAAAAUGCAUAAAAUCACACAAGGGUAUAUAAAUGAAAAUUAUAUAUAACCUAAUAUAAAUAGAAAUGAUAUAUAACCUAAUAUAUAACUCUCAUAAGAAUCUCAUUAGUGUGGGUAUUAAAUGUUAUAUACAUACACACAUCCACCCCAUUCUCUAUAAUUCCUCCCCUCUUCCUCGCUUUCUCUUUUUUUCGCCCUAGCCCUCUCCCCUUUUCCAUCUCUUCCCGGCUCUUCCUCCCGGGUUCCCAGCGCUCCCCUUCCUUCCCCCUCCGCCCUUUCUUCUCGCUAUUAAUUAACCCUUAUUUUUAAAACAAAGUUGACUCUCAAAUUUAUCGCGAGUGACAGUCCCAAAUUAAUCGGUUCAAUUAACUGGAUACUGAAUUGUUAAAAACAAAAUAAACAACCAAGAUCGUGUGAUAAUUUUUGCUUGAUUUAUUUAGAACAAAGUAACAGUGACCAUUAAAGUAUAACCACAUUGCAAUUCUCACAUAGCUUUCUAUUUUAUUUGUUACAGAAUCUAAUUACUCAUAAAGAUUAGAAGCCAAGCGAGGGGCGAUUAAGACUUCAAGCGGAGUGGCUUUGAUGUUGGUUAGCCCAGCGCUCUCGGUCAUGUCAACGGGCCCAGUGCCCGGAGUUGAAAGCCCAAAUCCAUGGAGCAACCUAGCCAGCACCAAGUGCAACAUUUGGACACCAAACACAAUUCCGGGGCACAACCUCCGCCCCGCCCCAAAUGGUAUCAGCCCAAAAUGCCGGCCCCUAACAUCAAAAUCUUUGUGGGUUGUGAGGAACCUCUCGGGCCGGAACUCGGACGGGUCGGGCCAAAUUGUUGGGUCUCUUUGGAUUUUCCACAGGUUCACCAUUAGCCUCGUGCCUUUUGCAAUGUAGUAGCCAUGAACGGUACAAUCUUCUGUAAACUCCCUUACACCUGAUAGUGGACCCGCGGGAUAUAACCGUAAUGUCUCUUUGACUAUAGCUUGGAGGUAUGCCAGCUUGGGGAUGUCUGAUUCGUCCACUGUCUUCUUGACUCGUUGGAAGUCAAGUCUUCUGGAGGCUUUCUUUCAAAUUCACGUGGCGGUUGUUCAUUAUUAGGGAGAGUGCCCACGUCAGCAUCACUGUUGUGGUGUCUGCUCCUCCAGAGAUCAACCCCUGGAUGCAGAUGGAGAAAUAUGAAGGCCUCACAGGUUAUUUUUUAUUAUUUUAAUAUAUCUCUUUUUUGUUCUUGAUCCUUUAUAAAAAAAUAAAUUAUAUUUUGCACCCUUAUAUUUUUAUCGAAAUAUCUUUUUUCAUCAUUGGAAGGAUAAAAAAAUAAUUAUUAGAAAAAAAUAUGAUCGUUGUAAACAUUGAUAGUUGAAAAAUAAUCUUUUUAAAAAAAUAUUGCAGUUGGAACAAUAUGACGGUAUUAGAAGUAUGACUGUUGAAAACAAAUUAUAGUAUAAAAUUAAUAAAUAGUAAAUAAAUAAUAAUUAAAAUUAAAAUAUAAAAGCUAAAGUAACUUGUUAAAAUAGAAUAUGUAAUUUUUGAGUUAUAAUUUGACUCAAAUUUUAUGACGUGGAUGUGGAUACUAUAAGAGGUGACAGUUGAAAGGAAAUCUGUAUUUUACAGUAAUAACACUUAAACCUAAGCCUCAUACUUGGUAAAGGACCACCUUAAUCACUAAACAACCCUUGGUCUUACAUUCUCCUUUAGCAAAAAUGCAUUUUCUUUUAUUUAUAUAGCCAAAUUAUGAAAUUACUAAGGCUCAGUUUGACUUAAAUUUUUUGGAGAUUUUUUUGUGAGUUUUUUUGUCAUCAAUGAUUUGUUUUAACUAUUUGAGAAAAUUUUAUAUGUUUUCGAUUUUCAUGAUGAGAGGAUUAUGAAAAUGUAAAAUAUUCAUUUAAUUUAAAAAAAUUAUUUAAAAAAUUAUUUUUACUCAACAAACUAGCUAUUUGUUUGUAAUGGAAUUUUUUUUCAAAUUUAAAUAAGUUUUUAUAUUUUCAGAUUCUGCUGAUUAAGAGCAACAAAAAAAAUAUAGAAUUUUUUUUUAUUAAAAAGAAAAAACGAAAAAAAAACAAAGCAGUUAAAAAAUUUUGCAAAAAAUAUUACAAACAGGACAUAAAUAUAAAAAUAAAAGAAUGUAUUUGUAAUAAAAAAAUGGAGUAUAAAAAUAUUUUCUUAAUUUUUUUAUCUUAAAAUAUUGCAAAGUAAGCAAAAACAAAAACUGACGAAGACGAAAAUACGGAGCACUGUAGUAGAAGACAAACCAGACACGUGGCUUUGUUGAUGGUGUCAACAUCGUAACGUCCAAGGUCUGCCCCUUCAAGGGUCGUAAUACAUAACGUCCAUGAAGUCCUCAUCAGCCUUAGCCACACCAGUCGCUCUCUCUCUCCGGUGCUCCUCUAACCAUCCCGAAACAAUAGCGUCCAUUUCUUUGCCAGUCUCCUUCAUGGCCUUCUCGCGGCCACCCAAGUCCAGCCACCGCAGGAACGGCACGGUGUCAGACACCAGAAACAGCCCCAAAAAGUAAAAGAACUCCCUGAACGCCUUCUGGCACCGCCGCCCCUCCUCCUCAUCGCCGCCACAGCCGCCUGCCCCGAAGAA